AGUUUUAAACAGGAACAAUGUAAUCAGAUUUACUCUUUGGAAAUAAGAUCUCUUGGGUUUCUCGCUCUGUUGUCCAGGCCGGAGUGCAGUGAUGCAGUUACAGCUCACUGCAGCCUCAAACUCCUGGGCUCAAGCGAUCCUCCCACUUCAGCCUCCUGAAUAGCUGGGACUACAGUCUUCAGCUACCCAGUGAAGAGGAUGUUAUGAUUAUACCGUUUUACAUGUGAGGAAAUGGUACGUGGUCACACAGCUAUUAGCCGGGCGUGGUGGUGUGCACUUGUGGUCCCAGCUACUUGAAAGUGAAAGUGAGUACUCAAAA
Molecule: long non-coding RNA, 319 nt
Filed under: Callithrix jacchus (white-tufted-ear marmoset)
Lineage: Eukaryota; Metazoa; Chordata; Mammalia; Primates; Cebidae
Description: lncRNA (ENSCJAG00000084594.1)
Source: RNAcentral